Molecule: ribosomal RNA, 401 nt
Filed under: Crinotonia anastasiae
Lineage: Eukaryota; Metazoa; Arthropoda; Malacostraca; Decapoda; Palaemonidae
Description: partial 12S ribosomal RNA
Source: RNAcentral
UUUAAACUAGGAUUAGAUACCCUAUUAUUCUUUCUCGAAAUUUAAUUGCUUGAGUAGUAAUCAGUUAUGAGCUCGAAACUUAAAGGAUUUGGCGGUAUUUUAGUCUAGUUAGAGGAACCUGCUCCGUAAACGAUAAGCCACGAAUUAUCUUACUUUUACUUGUGUUCAGUAUGUAUACCUCCAUUAUUAAAUAAUAUUUAUAAGUAAAUAUUGGAAUAAAAUUGAUUUAGUAUAUUAGGUCAAGGUGCAGCUAAUGUGAAAGGUGUGGGUGGGUUACAAUGUAUUUAAUACUUGCGUAUAAAAGUUAUAAAAUCUUUUUGAAGUUGGAUUUAAUUGUAUUCUUAUUUUAAUAAGUCAGGAUGAUAUAAGCUCUAGGAUAUGUACACUCGCCCGCUCAUAAA